RNAcentral lists this transfer RNA (76 nucleotides) under candidate division BRC1 bacterium ADurb.Bin183. RNAcentral's name for it is "tRNA-Gln". It matches the Rfam family "tRNA". Rfam says of the family: Transfer RNA (tRNA) molecules are approximately 80 nucleotides in length. Their secondary structure includes four short double-helical elements and three loops (D, anti-codon, and T loops). The record is from RNAcentral. RNAcentral also lists the same sequence under 2 other names. Lineage: Bacteria; Candidatus Sumerlaeota.
UGGGGCGUAGUCGAGUUGGUAAGACGUCUGACUCUGGAUCAGAAGGUCGUAGGUUCGAGUCCUACCGCCCCAGCCA